This 253-nucleotide ribosomal RNA is filed under the name uncultured Flexispira sp. RNAcentral's name for it is "partial 16S ribosomal RNA". It matches the Rfam family "Bacterial small subunit ribosomal RNA", at positions 524 to 776 of the family's 1533-position model. Lineage: Bacteria; Pseudomonadati; Campylobacterota; Epsilonproteobacteria; Campylobacterales; Helicobacteraceae. The record is from RNAcentral.
UACGGAGGGUGCAAGCGUUACUCGGAAUCACUGGGCGUAAAGAGUGCGCAGGCGGGCUUGUAAGUCAGAUGUGAAAUCCUGUAGCUUAACUACAGAACUGCAUUUGAAACUAUGAGUCUAGAGUGUGGGAGAGGUAGGUGGAAUUCUUGGUGUAGGGGUAAAAUCCGUAGAUAUUAGGAGGAACACCAGUGGCGAAGGCGGCUCUCUGGUCUGCAACUGACGCUGAGGCUCGAAAGCAUGGGUAGCGAACAGG